Molecule: ribosomal RNA, 3056 nt
Filed under: Campylobacter jejuni
Lineage: Bacteria; Pseudomonadati; Campylobacterota; Epsilonproteobacteria; Campylobacterales; Campylobacteraceae
Description: 23S ribosomal RNA
Rfam family: Bacterial large subunit ribosomal RNA
Source: RNAcentral
AGGUAAGCUACUAAGAGCGAAUGGUGGAUGCCUUGACUGGUAAAGGCGAUGAAGGACGUACUAGACUGCGAUAAGCUACGGGGAGCUGUCAAGAAGCUUUGAUCCGUAGAUUUCCGAAUGGGGCAACCCAAUGUAUAGAGAUAUACAUUACCUAUAUAGGAGCGAACGAGGGGAAUUGAAACAUCUUAGUACCCUCAGGAAAAGAAAUCAAUAGAGAUUGCGUCAGUAGCGGCGAGCGAAAGCGCAAGAGGGCAAACCCAGUGCUUGCACUGGGGGUUGUAGGACUGCAAUGUGCAAGAGCUGAGUUUAGCAGAACAUUCUGGAAAGUAUAGCCAUAGAGGGUGAUAGUCCCGUAUGCGAAAAACAAAGCUUAGCUAGCAGUAUCCUGAGUAGGGCGGGACACGAGGAAUCCUGUCUGAAUCCGGGUCGACCACGAUCCAACCCUAAAUACUAAUACCAGAUCGAUAGUGCACAAGUACCGUGAGGGAAAGGUGAAAAGAACUGAGGUGAUCAGAGUGAAAUAGAACCUGAAACCAUUUGCUUACAAUCAUUCAGAGCACUAUGUAGCAAUACAGUGUGAUGGACUGCCUUUUGCAUAAUGAGCCUGCGAGUUGUGGUGUCUGGCAAGGUUAAGCAAACGCGAAGCCGUAGCGAAAGCGAGUCUGAAUAGGGCGCUUAGUCAGAUGCUGCAGACCCGAAACGAAGUGAUCUAUCCAUGAGCAAGUUGAAGCUAGUGUAAGAACUAGUGGAGGACUGAACCCAUAGGCGUUGAAAAGCCCCGGGAUGACUUGUGGAUAGGGGUGAAAGGCCAAUCAAACUUCGUGAUAGCUGGUUCUCUCCGAAAUAUAUUUAGGUAUAGCGUUGUGUCGUAAUAUAAGGGGGUAGAGCACUGAAUGGGCUAGGGCAUACACCAAUGUACCAAACCCUAUCAAACUCCGAAUACCUUAUAUGUAAUCACAGCAGUCAGGCGGCGAGUGAUAAAAUCCGUCGUCAAGAGGGAAACAACCCAGACUACCAGCUAAGGUCCCUAAAUCUUACUUAAGUGGAAAACGAUGUGAAGUUACUUAAACAACCAGGAGGUUGGCUUAGAAGCAGCCAUCCUUUAAAGAAAGCGUAAUAGCUCACUGGUCUAGUGAUUUUGCGCGGAAAAUAUAACGGGGCUAAAGUAAGUACCGAAGCUGUAGACUUGCACACAACUUAGAUUAUUUAAGUUUAGAAUAUGAGAAACUAAGUUAUAUGUUUAGUUAUAUUUUUACUGAUUUUUAUAGAGUAAAGAUAGAAAUAAAACUUAGUAAAAUCAGUAAAAAUAUUCUUAGGCUAAAGUUAAGUAGUUUAAGUUGUGUGCAAGUGGUAGGAGAGCGUUCUAUUUGCGUCGAAGGUAUACCGGUAAGGAGUGCUGGAGCGAAUAGAAGUGAGCAUGCAGGCAUGAGUAGCGAUAAUUAAUGUGAGAAUCAUUAACGCCGUAAACCCAAGGUUUCCUACGCGAUGCUCGUCAUCGUAGGGUUAGUCGGGUCCUAAGUCGAGUCCGAAAGGGGUAGACGAUGGCAAAUUGGUUAAUAUUCCAAUACCAACAUUAGUGUGCGAUGGAAGGACGCUUAGGGCUAAGGGGGCUAGCGGAUGGAAGUGCUAGUCUAAGGUUGUAGGAGGUUAUACAGGCAAAUCCGUAUAACAAUACUCCGAGAACUGAAAGGCUUUUUGAAGUCUUCGGAUGGAUAGAAGAACCCCUGAUGCCGUCGAGCCAAGAAAAGUUUCUAAGUUUAGCUAAUGUUGCCCGUACCGUAAACCGACACAGGUGGGUGGGAUGAGUAUUCUAAGGCGCGUGGAAGAACUCUCUUUAAGGAACUCUGCAAAAUAGCACCGUAUCUUCGGUAUAAGGUGUGGUUAGCUUCGUACUAGGAUUUACUCCGAAAGCGAAGAAACUUACAACAAAGAGUCCCUCCCGACUGUUUACCAAAAACACAGCACUCUGCUAACUCGUAAGAGGAUGUAUAGGGUGUGACGCCUGCCCGGUGCUCGAAGGUUAAUUGAUGGGGUUAGCAUUAGCGAAGCUCUUGAUCGAAGCCCGAGUAAACGGCGGCCGUAACUAUAACGGUCCUAAGGUAGCGAAAUUCCUUGUCGGUUAAAUACCGACCUGCAUGAAUGGCGUAACGAGAUGGGAGCUGUCUCAAAGAGGGAUCCAGUGAAAUUGUAGUGGAGGUGAAAAUUCCUCCUACCCGCGGCAAGACGGAAAGACCCCGUGGACCUUUACUACAGCUUGACACUGCUACUUGGAUAAGAAUGUGCAGGAUAGGUGGGAGGCUUUGAGUAUAUGACGCCAGUUGUAUAUGAGCCAUUGUUGAGAUACCACUCUUUCUUAUUUGGGUAGCUAACCAGCUUGAGUUAUCCUCAAGUGGGACAAUGUCUGGUGGGUAGUUUGACUGGGGCGGUCGCCUCCCAAAUAAUAACGGAGGCUUACAAAGGUUGGCUCAUAGCGGUUGGAAAUCGCUAGUAGAGUAUAAAGGUAUAAGCCAGCUUAACUGCAAGACAUACAAGUCAAGCAGAGACGAAAGUCGGUCUUAGUGAUCCGGUGGUUCUGUGUGGAAGGGCCAUCGCUCAAAGGAUAAAAGGUACCCCGGGGAUAACAGGCUGAUCUCCCCCAAGAGCUCACAUCGACGGGGAGGUUUGGCACCUCGAUGUCGGCUCAUCGCAUCCUGGGGCUGGAGCAGGUCCCAAGGGUAUGGCUGUUCGCCAUUUAAAGCGGUACGCGAGCUGGGUUCAGAACGUCGUGAGACAGUUCGGUCCCUAUCUGCCGUGGGCGUAAGAAGAUUGAAGAGAUUUGACCCUAGUACGAGAGGACCGGGUUGAACAAACCACUGGUGUAGCUGUUGUUCUGCCAAGAGCAUCGCAGCGUAGCUAAGUUUGGAAAGGAUAAACGCUGAAAGCAUCUAAGCGUGAAGCCAACUCUAAGAUGAAUCUUCUCUAAGCUCUCUAGAAGACUACUAGUUUGAUAGGCUGGGUGUGUAAUGGAUGAAAGUCCUUUAGCUGACCAGUACUAAUAGAGCGUUUGGCUUAUCUUU